This 619-nucleotide ribosomal RNA is filed under the name uncultured organism. RNAcentral describes it as "bacterial SSU rRNA". It matches the Rfam family "Bacterial small subunit ribosomal RNA", at positions 874 to 1504 of the family's 1533-position model. The record is from RNAcentral.
UGGGGAGUACGAACGCAAGUUUGAAACUCAAAGGAAUUGACGGGGGCCCGCACAAGCGGUGGAUUAUGUGGUUUAAUUCGAUGAUACGCGAGGAACCUUACCAAGGCUUAAAUGGGAAAUGACAGGUUUAGAAAUAGACUUUUCUUCGGACAUUUUUCAAGGUGCUGCAUGGUUGUCGUCAGCUCGUGCCGUGAGGUGUUAGGUUAAGUCCUGCAACGAGCGCAACCCCUGUCACUAGUUGCCAUCAUUAAGUUGGGGACUCUAGUGAGACUGCCUACGCAAGUAGAGAGGAAGGUGGGGAUGACGUCAAAUCAUCACGGCCCUUACGCCUUGGGCCACACACGUAAUACAAUGGCCGGUACAGAGGGCAGCUACACAGUGAUGUGAUGCAAAUCUCGAAAGCCGGUCUCAGUUCGGAUUGGAGUCUGCAACUCGACUCUAUGAAGCUGGAAUCGCUAGUAAUCGCGCAUCAGCCAUGGCGCGGUGAAUACGUUCCCGGGCCUUGUACACACCGCCCGUCAAGCCAUGGAAGUCUGGGGUACCUGAAGUCGGUGACCGUAACAGGAGCUGCCUAGGGUAAAACAGGUAACUAGGGCUAAGUCGUAACAAGGUAGCCGUA